AGCAGCCGCGGUAAUUCCAGCUCCAAUAGCGUAUAUUAAAGUUGCUGCAGUUAAAAAGCUCGUAGUUGAAUUUCGGGACCAUCAUGUCGGUCGUGCCUCGGUACGUACUGGCAUCGUUGGUUUCUCCCUUCUGACGAACCACGAUGUCAUUUAUUUGGUGUUGUGGGGAAUCAGGACUGUUACUUUGAAAAAAUUAGAGUGUUUAAAGCAGGCUCACGCUUGAAUACAUUAGCAUGGAAUAAUGAAAUAGGACGUUUGAUUCUAUUUUGUUGGUUUCUAGGAUCGACGUAAUGAUUAAUAGGGAUAGUUGGGGGCAUUAGUAUUCAAUUGUCAGAGGUGAAAUUCUUGGAUUUAUUGAAGACUAACUACCGCGAAGGCAUUUGCCAAGGAUGUUUUCAUUAAUCAAGAACGAAAGUUAGGGGAUCGAAGACGAUCAGAUACCGUCGUAGUCUUAACCAUAAACUAUGCCGACUAGGGAUCGGAUGAUGUUAAUUUUUUAAUGACUCA
Molecule: ribosomal RNA, 507 nt
Filed under: uncultured Glomeromycotina
Lineage: Eukaryota; Fungi; Glomeromycota
Description: SSU rRNA
Rfam family: Eukaryotic small subunit ribosomal RNA
Source: RNAcentral